GCAUGCACCACAAAUGUUACCUUCUUCUUCUCCCAUGCAUGCACCACAAAUGAUAUCCCAUGCAUGCACCACAAGUGUUAUCAUGUUACCUCAAACUCAUACACUAUUUACUUAAUGGCGUCCAAGAGCCUUUUUUUUCUUUAAUAUAUUUUUUUUCUCAAUAAUAAUGGAACAAAAAUAGAUGAAUAGAAAGACACUAAUAAUAUAAAAUAAAAAAUAAUUAAUAGGUGCUCAAGAUGAAUACUUCCAAGAUGAAAACCUUUCAGCUUCAUGACUCAUGAAAAAUACUCCUAUGGUAAAGGUUUCUCACCUUCGCUCAUUAUUUCUCAUG
RNAcentral lists this long non-coding RNA (331 nucleotides) under Musa acuminata (dwarf banana). RNAcentral's name for it is "long non-coding RNA (MACU_LNC009221)". Lineage: Eukaryota; Viridiplantae; Streptophyta; Magnoliopsida; Zingiberales; Musaceae. The record is from RNAcentral.